RNAcentral lists this long non-coding RNA (1412 nucleotides) under Gadus morhua (Atlantic cod). RNAcentral describes it as "lncRNA (ENSGMOG00000022513.1)". Lineage: Eukaryota; Metazoa; Chordata; Actinopteri; Gadiformes; Gadidae. The record is from RNAcentral.
AGUGUGGCUCCCAGGUCGGAGAAGCACAAUAGACCGACCAUCCCCACGGGAGUACCCGUGUAAUCCACGAUAAAACCGGGAAAACUAACCAGCAAGGCCAAACGCACAGAAGUCGCUUCAAAUGAACGGCUUUUACAGACAAACGGUGAACUUUGUUCAGGUCAAGUUGAUCCUCGUUUUCCUGCUUCGAUCAAACAGACGUUUCAGGUUUUCCCCGGUUCUCGGGACACUUGGGGCCGGAGAGAGGGGUCCGUGAUAGCGGCACCUGCAAGGCCUCCCGGCGGAGGGAAACAGCGACGUUUGAAGAACAAUGACUCGUACCAGGCACAGCACUGCCAUCUGGCGGUCAGAAAUAUUAUACGUUUUUAUUUUGUUCACAAUGAAAAAUUACAUUUUAACUAACUGGGGCCCUAAAUGACAGUUAUUCAGUGACCGACUACUGAGGAGUUACUGGUAAACAGUCUAGGGGACUACUGUAUUCAUUACUGAGCAACGAAUGAUGAACAACUGGGGCUCUAACUGGGGCCCUAAGUGACAGUUAUUCAGUCACUACUGAGGAGUUACUUUUAAACAGAGUAGGGGAUACUGUAUUGAUUAAUCAUUCUGUGAAUUGGCAAACAGCCAAUUUAUUAUGAAAGCAACUGUAUUUUCCUUGGAUUUCACAACUAUUAUUCAAUUAACAGGGCACAGACAGGUUGAUUGUCAUAUUUGAAUAAAGAUUCACAAUACAUACAUUAAUAUUUACAUUUAAGGUUUAUUAUGUGCCGUAGUAAUGUUAAAAGUUGUUGCAAUAGUAAUGUUAAAAUCUUAAAAGCAAUUGUCCACCGCUGCAGGGCACACUUUAAACCUGCCGCCCUUGGUUUCAAGCGCUGUUGAGGGCUGGCUUGGGGAUCCACACUGGAUCGACUGAUAGAGCUGGAUCGGACUGAUCAUGAGUUGUUACUCAUUCACGAACCAUUCGUUCACCAGUAGUGAUGCUUUUGGUGUGCCUUCAUGUAAAGUCAUGCAUCAUACUGAGUUGUUACUCUUUCGCGAAUCAUUCGUUCACCAGUAGUUAAGCUUUUUGAACCAUAAUACGGUAUCCCCUAGUCGGUUUAACAGUAACUCCUCAGUAGCUAAAGAAUAACAGUCCCUUAGGGCCCCAGUUGUUCAUCAUUAGUUACUCAGUAAUGAAUACAGUAGUCCCCUAGUCUGUUUACCAGUAACUCCUCAGUAGUUACUGAAUCACUUAGGGCCCCUUUAGGGCCCCACUUAGGGCCCUGGUCAUUCAUCAUUCGUUACUCAUUCGUUCCUCAGUAACUACCCACGUUUUUGCGUACCUUAUUGUAAAGUGUUACCGGGAAAUCUAGUUCAGUCACUGUGGUGAAAGGAUUAAUUAGGUUGUACAAACCUACCUUGAAUGAACCUUUCAU